This 223-nucleotide long non-coding RNA is filed under the name Marmota monax (woodchuck). The stretch from base 66 to 122 matches the Rfam family "tRNA", at positions 8 to 63 of the family's 71-position model. Lineage: Eukaryota; Metazoa; Chordata; Mammalia; Rodentia; Sciuridae. The record is from RNAcentral.
UAUAAACUAACAUUUUCAGGGUAUGGGCCUGAUAGCUUAUUUAGCUGACCUUACUGGUAGCUAAAUGGUGUAAGAGGUAGCACAAGGAAUUUUGAAUUCUUAGGAUUAGGUUCAAAUCCUACAGUUCUAGAAAUCAGAGGGUUUAAACCUCUAUUAUUUACUCUAUCAAAAUAACUCUUCUGUCAGACAUAUUUCUUUAGGUUUGAGGAGGUACACAUCCUAU